This 126-nucleotide ribosomal RNA is filed under the name Vulpes vulpes (red fox). Lineage: Eukaryota; Metazoa; Chordata; Mammalia; Carnivora; Canidae. The record is from RNAcentral.
GUCUAUAGCCACACCACCCUGAACCCGAUGAUUAUCCCGAUGAUUAUCUGAUCUCAGAAACAAAGCAGGAUCAGGCCUGGUUGGUACUUGGAUGGGAGACUGGUUAGGUAAAGCAGCUGACAAACC